RNAcentral lists this long non-coding RNA (1031 nucleotides) under Helianthus annuus (common sunflower). RNAcentral describes it as "hypothetical non coding rna". The record is from RNAcentral. Lineage: Eukaryota; Viridiplantae; Streptophyta; Magnoliopsida; Asterales; Asteraceae.
AAACUACAUUUCUGUUUAAAGUUUGAUCCAUUGAGUUCAACUAUCUUUUGUUGAAUUUGUUCAUACCUUUUUAAUAGAUAAUGUUCAAAAGCUAUGAAUUUUAAGAACCAAUAUAGAUGUGUUAUAAGUCGAAUGAUCAAAUGAUAAACGAACACAAGAAAUACAACAGAUAUGUCCUUCUUGCUAGCAAAUGCAAAUCGGAGACACCUGGUGUUUUGAUAGACCAGAGACCGCGAUGAUCCCCUAUGGUAGCCGUGGCUUGCGAUUAGUUAUGACUUAGCGAUUUAGAGUAUCUACGGAGAUGUUAAUGUAUAACGUUUUUUUUGACCGGAUUAAGUAUCUUAAGCCACAUAUAAGUGUAUCGAUGGCUAUGUGAUAUUUUAGUUUGAAUGUGGACCUGUUUUGUUUGUUUUUCUUAGAGUUUGAUCAUUGUUUAAAAUGAUACACAGAAAGCUGCAUGACUAUGUGCAUUCUAUAUUGAUCACGAAAUGAACUGAUGUACAUAAAAUUAGUCGAUGUGUGAUACAAGAGUUUCUUAAAAGUAAGUGUAAACUGUGAUAUGUGUUGGUUGAAAUCGAGCCAUCCAAAAUAGGAAGUUGUAAGAUACCAACGAUGGCUGGUGCAAUACUUAACUUGUGCAAUCCUGCCGACUACACAGACAUUCUUUGAGUUCAGGCUCAUUCGCCACUGAAAAAAAAACCAUACAACCUUAGCCAGCAGAUAAGACAAGCAGUACAUAGCAACAAACAUACAUAGAACAGUACAGCAACAAGCAGUCCAUCCUAAAUAGGAAGCCGAAGAAGUUGAACCGGAAGAGAUGACUGUCAAAACGGGUCAUCUCAAGAAUAUAACUAGUUUGUACAUGUAUAAGUACACUUGGCAAAAUGGUAGGUCGGGUAACGUGUCAAAAUGGGUUUCAAGCAAAAGGAGUGAUCUUUCGUACAUAUCAAAUUGAUCCGGGUCCGUCAGGUUAACAAAAAAUCAAGUCAGAAAUCUGAUCCUAUCUUUGUUUAUGUUGAUAAAAAUUCGAG